GAUGAAUGCUGGCGGUAUGCUUAACACAUGCAAGUCGAACGGACUCUUCGGAGUUAGUGGCGGACGGGUGAGUAACGCGUGAGAAUCUGGCUUUGGGUUCGGGACAACCACUGGAAACGGUGGCUAAUACCGGAUGUGCCGAGAGGUAAAAGAGAAAUUGCCUGAAGAUGAGCUCGCGUCUGAUUAGCUAGUUGGUGAGGUAAAGGCUCACCAAGGCAGCGAUCAGUAGCUGGUCUGAGAGGAUGACCGGCCACACUGGGACUGAGACACGGCCCAGACUACUACGGGAGGAAGCAGGGGGGAAUUGUCCGCAAUGGGCGAGAGCCUGACGGAGCAAUACCGCGUGAGGGAAGAAGGCUCUUGGGUUGAAAACCUCUUUUCUUAGGGAAGAACAAAAUGACGGUACCUAAGGAAUCAGCAUCGGCUAACUCCGUG
RNAcentral lists this ribosomal RNA (435 nucleotides) under uncultured bacterium. RNAcentral's name for it is "partial 16S ribosomal RNA". It matches the Rfam family "Bacterial small subunit ribosomal RNA", at positions 28 to 507 of the family's 1533-position model. The record is from RNAcentral.